Molecule: long non-coding RNA, 4898 nt
Filed under: Olea europaea subsp. europaea
Lineage: Eukaryota; Viridiplantae; Streptophyta; Magnoliopsida; Lamiales; Oleaceae
Source: RNAcentral
UUGAGUUCUUGGAAACUCUAAUAGAAAGCAAAGCAAUAUAUUAGUAUUAAAACCACAAUACAACGGAAACUUCCAUUAUAGAGUCAAAAAGAAUAACAAAUGAUCACCUAACUCUAUAAAUUACAUCGAAUAUCUUUCCAGGAUGUUCUAAUGAUACUGUACAUUAAAAUCAUUCAUAAAAAACAAACAAAAUAGUCCACUUUAAGCACAUAAAAGAUGAAAUGAAAACCCGCACUGCAUAAUGUAGGACCCUAAUGCAAAUCCCUGAGUUCUUUCAAUAUUUAUUUCGACGCCAUAAAUUAACCCUUUUAACUAACCCAAGAACGUUAGCCAAAUCACUAAAUUAAGAGGCAUGAAUAAUAUCAAAUCUAAGACGCAAGUUGACAUCGAGAAAUGGCCAACAAGUGUCCGGCCACGUUCUGUUUACACCUGCACACGGAGCACUCCGUUAGAAGGCAAAGGUCAUCGGCCAAGAAAAAGGUCCGACGAUCAUUUGCACUCCGACGGUCAAGUCAAUGGCCGAACGAAAAUAUAUAUAUAGAUAGAGUACAAUAGUUGGGGGAGGGGGAAUUUGGCUAAGGUUUAGAACAUCAUCUUACCUGGAAAUGGAGUGAAUUCUCAUAUAUAUAGACAAAUGAAAUGGGCCAAGUACUUUAAUGGGCCUAAGUCCAAACUCUACAUCAGGUGUUUUUAUAUGCAUUGUUAUGGAUACCUCCGCAAGCACUUCAACGGGACCUCUUAGGGCCUCAACGGUAUCUUUGAAGGCACCUCGAUUGCCUCUUGAGAGCCUGGGUUGGACCACUUAGGGUCUCGGUGGACAUCCUUGAAGGCACUUCAACCAUCUUGAUAGGCACCUCGGCAGGAACUUCGGCCAUCUUUGGAGGCACCUCGUCUUAUUUCUUGGAGAGCCUCGGCUUGGCUUGGUAGGCACCUCAGCUGGCUCCCUUGAGAGCCUCAACUGAAUUAGUGAAUUAUCAUGGUGCCUCCACGUGGCAUUUCAUAUUCGACCAGCAACAGGGCAUAUAUCCAAAAUAUUUAUCAAUAUCACAUCCUCAUAUCAUCAAAUUCAAACCUAAUAAAUCUAAUAGAUUCUUCCAAAUAACAAGCACAAGACAUAAUUAACCAUCAUUACAUGACAAGCAAGAUCAUUUCAGAGUAGCAAGUUCUAUCUACUUUCAAUGAAAAAAGAACAAAUAAAUUUCUGAUUAGAAAAUCCUUACUUUGUUUUUGACAUAACAAUUAAAAGAAAACUAUAAUUCCAAUUUACUUCAGCUAAAAAUUUCUAUAUAAUUUGCAUGCAAGUAAAUUAUAGACAGACAGCAAUAAUUCCCAUAAAAAAAGAAGUGAAGUAGAAAAAACAUCAAUAUAUAAUCACAAAAAUAAAAAAAAAGAAAAGAAAAUUGCGCUCAAUAAAUAGAUUGAAAAUAUCACCAAAAUGAUCGAUCAAGUACUUAACUCACAGUAGCUGCGAAAAAUGCCUUCUUACCGAUAUCUAAUAGAACAAUCAUCAUCAAUUACUUCGUAAACCCCUAAUCAAUUUUUAAACAAAAGAAUAGGAAAAAACUCAAAAGAAAUAAGUAAUCGAUAGGUAUUAACAGAUUUUGUCUCCGGCCCUGAAUAGUCGAUAAAACAACCAAGAACAGAUAUCAGAAUCAAGGUCCCAAUAGCAGUCGCCACAUACGACAUGGUGCAUUGGGCCUUGAACCUCUUGAGCCUCAACUGCCAUCGUCACAAGAAUCCUAAAAGCAAUAAUAUAGAUAGACAAUGCGAGUACACAAAAGGUCAUUAUUUAAUGUAAUCAGACUCCAGAACUUAAAAGGCAUAAAAGCAUAUUAAUGGUGCAGACAUGUGUUAGCACACAUCUGAAUGUAUAUGUGAGGGUCAAAUAUCGAAAGAACACUUAUUCUAGUCACAUCUAUGCUAUUGGUCGAGAAAACAUAAAUGCACAAGUAUGCAAAUCGUUGUGUCCGUGUAGAUAAAGAGAGCAUUUGAAGUUUCAUAAGAUGAUAUGAAAUAACUUAGGAAAAAUUAAAAAUUGGUCAUCUCCGAUUAAAACUUCCAUGUCAUGCUUAAAAUAGUUUGUGCUUAUGUGACAGUUUCCUACAAAUUAUAAAACUAUUAGAAAACUAACAAGCAUAAAUUUUGCUAUUGAAUGGAAAAGUUUCUAUCAGAAGUGUCUCUGUGUGCGUGAGAGAGAGGAAUGAGUUAAGAGUCCCUGCUCGGUAAAUAUAUAAUGCACUAAAGCAAAGAGCGCCUAAUUAUUUUUAAUUGUUGAUAAUGACAAGUAUGUGCGAGUUUAAGAAGUUCAAAAUUAACUCAUCAAUGUUGCGUAUAAAGGAUAAGACAGCGAGUUAUAAAAAGCCGUCUCCGCAUCCAUUAUCAACUAAACCCCAUCCUUUAGCAGUUGAACGAUCUCCUGUACAUAUGAAUUCAUAAUACAACAAAAACUAUACGUAACUUCUAAAGUUCACCAACCAAUGUGAUUAAGAAAAUCAAAUACUCAGCUAAGAGAUGUGAAUAAUCACUUCAAUUUGAUAAGUCUCUUUGUCAAAUGACCAACAUCUCAAGAAGGGGAUAAAAUACCAUUAUAAAAGCUCAAAGCAAUCGAUAACUCGCUUAAAAACUUCAAGCUGUCUGAUAUGUCAGCUAAAUAUGUGAACAAAAGAAAAAAAAAAUCCAGCUACAAUAAUGCAAAAAAGGUUUUUCAUGAAAAUAUAACUCACAAUAUAGUGCAAAAGAAGAUGGAAGAGAAAGCUCUUACUCCGACAAAGUUCGCCCCCGAUUCAACCAGGAUGCCAGUGCUCCUCCAUUGCUCACCAAUAAGCUUGAUUAGGUCUUCUGAAGGAAGAGAUCUCGGAUGUUGACCAUUAAUCCACAUUUGAAGUUAAGAAAAUAUAUUCAGUGCGGGAAUAAGAUGGGUCAAGGCUGAAGCAAAAGUUGCAAUGAUCCUUUGCAAUAGGAAAAUUGUACUGAUUAUUACUCCAAGUUAUUAAAUUAAGUCCAUAAUCUUGGUCAAUAAAAGCUUUUAUCAAUGCUGGACAAAUAUAUGUAGUUCAAUACGUUUCACAUAAAGCAAUUAAAAAAAAGGCAAAUAUUGUUCAUCUUUUAUCUCAAAAACCCUAUCCCAAUUUAAUGAGUCAUUUAGAGAUUAAUAAAAUUUGAAACUUAUCCGAAAACACCACAAAGAAAGACUUGGAAGACUGCCAUCCAUAUUCACUUAGGCAUCUUCUUACUAUAAUAUCAAGAAAAUUUCAAAGAUUUAGAUUUAGAAGAAAUUCUUGUGUGCGGAUUUUAACUUAAGAUUUUCACAUUUUUUGUGGGAUCCAUAAACCCUAGAUGUGAAGGGAAAAUAAAAACCCCUUGAAAAUUAACAUUUAAUCAAAUAUUCUUCCUUGUAAAUUUGAAAAUCAAAAUAAACAUACAUUAGAAACUUUCAACCAAGAGGGCAAUCGAAAUCAUAAAACCAGGCCAAACAUGAAUCAAUAGCCCACCAAAGUGGACAACUUCAUUCCAUCAUUUGCAGCCAGUUUAUAAACAAUAUCGACUCCAGCAAAUAUUGUUUGCACCAUCACCAUUAGUAACGUUGGCUUCAACCCUUGUAACUAAGGUUGAACAAAACUCCCGAACCAGCUAGUCGGACCCAAACCAAAUUGAGCGAUUCUUCUUAAUUAAAUAUCCAAAUGGGUAUUUAAAUCGAAAAUCAACGGGUUCGGUUCUGUUCUCAAUUCUAGAGCAACAAUCGAAUAACUGAAUAAGAACCAAAUCUUCUUAAUUUUAAAUUAAUUUAUUUUAAAUAAGUCAAAUUAUAUUUUCUCUAAAUAAAUUUCUAACUAGUUAAUUUAGUUCAAACCCAAAAAUAUGAUUUUUCAUAUUUCUAAUUUUCAAUCCAAGCCAACUUAAUCAAAUUGACCUAAGUUUUACCCAAAUCUAUUAUUCUACUAUAUUAUUAUUUCUACCAUUUUGAAAAAAUCGAAUUAAAGUUCGACAAAGCCUCUCCUAAUUAUUGUGAGUUCACUAUCUUCCUCUUCGUGUGAUUUUAACAAUCAAAUCAUGGAGAACUCAACAAAGAGAGACGCAAGACACAUAAGAUUGGACUAUCGUAUUUUGUAAGAGUUAAGAAUAACAUGUAAUUAGUUAAAUUAAUAUAGUUUUGUAAAUAUUAAAAAUUUUAAUUAUAGUACGGAACCAAAAAUCGAAUCGGACUAAAUCGAAUGGAACUGAACUCGAGUGGUUCCAUAAUUAAAUUUUGACACUACAAUUUCACAUACUAAAUAUCCGAAAAUUUCGAAUUUGGUUAAAUUCUCGUUAUAACCAAACCGAAUCAUGCCCAACUUUACUUGUAAUGAGUCGCAAAUCUUCAUAUUUUCAAUCAAACUCCCGAUCCACAAACUAAAUAAAUCUACGAACAAGAAACUUAAAAACCUUGGGAGAUAUAGGACUUUCAAUCAAAUUCCCAACCUACAAAAUAAAUAGUAAAUCAUCCACCAAGAAGAAACUUAAAAACCUUGAGAGAUAUAGGUUUUUCAAUCAAAACUCUCAACCCGCAAAAGUAAAUUUUAAAUCUACCGAGAAGAACUUAAAAACCUAGACAAACAAAGAAUUUUCAAUCAAAUUCCCAACCCACCAUAGCAAAUACAUCUACCAAGAACAAUAAGAACAAAAUGAAGAUUCAAUUUUUUCAAGUUCUUGCUUGAAAAGAGGAGAAGAGCCAAAGGGGAAAUAGAAGGAAAAAUAUAUCUUAUUUUUGGCAUGUCCUUCUCUGCAAUACCUACUGCAACAAAUAGAAAAUAGAGAAGAAGAAAGGAGAGAUCUGGGUUGUAUGGGGAACUGGAGUACAGAGCCUGGGUACUUGUGCAGAAAAAUGGAAAAAGACAGAGAGACGAAAGAAAAAUGAAAAU